UACGGAGGGAGCUAGCGUUGCUCGGAAUCACUGGGCGUAAAGCGCACGUAGGCGGGUCGUUAAGUCGGGGGUGAAAUCCUGGAGCUCAACUCCAGAACUGCCUUCGAUACUGGCGAUCUUGAGUCUGGGAGAGGUGAGUGGAACUCCGAGUGUAGAGGUGAAAUUCGUAGAUAUUCGGAAGAACACCAGUGGCGAAGGCGGCUCACUGGCCCGGUACUGACGCUGAGGUGCGAAAGCGUGGGGAGCAAACAGG
RNAcentral lists this ribosomal RNA (253 nucleotides) under uncultured bacterium. RNAcentral's name for it is "partial 16S ribosomal RNA". It matches the Rfam family "Bacterial small subunit ribosomal RNA", at positions 524 to 776 of the family's 1533-position model. The record is from RNAcentral.